CCAACCACUAACACUACUCCAAAUCUUACCACUAUUACCACAGCUAGCCCACACCACUAUUAUCAUCACCACCACCUCCCGAUCAAGUCACCGGAAGACUCUGAACACUCCUACUGGCAGACUUCGAAGAAAAGGACAUAAAGAAAUAAUAUUGGCAGUCUUCUUGUUCUUGGUUACCAUCCUCCUCCUUGUGAAUAGUGUAAUUUGGUGCCUCAUCAUUCUGGUGUAUGUCCGGAAUGGAAGAAAACUGCAAAAAGGAAUGGGCACUCAAAGUGUGGACCAGAAAAGAACACAGGGCUUUUUCCAAUCAAUGAGACCCUGAGAGAGAAAGAUUGGGGCUGGGAUCCCCAGCAAGGAAGUGAUGACUUCUCGGAUCUAUGGAAUGAUACCAAAUCAUGCUUUGGAAGCACAAGUGUUAUUUAAAGCAGGAAAUAUCUGAAUAAAAAGAUACAUGAAAAUGGAACUUCCCCCAGGGGGAAAAAGCAAGCAGCUUUUCACUCAUCCAAGCCAAAGCUCCAAAGAGAGAAGAUCCAAGAGCAGUCUUACCGGAAGCAGUCCAAGAGCCAGAGUUCCAGAUCCAAGUCAUAACUCCAAGCUCCAGAUUCAGGAUCCUCCAACAUGAAAAUUCGGGAUGAAUAUUCCUCUUGCACAGGAAGUUCAUCACCUUUUAUAAUCCUCUUUUAUAUCCCUUCCUGUCCCUUCCUCCACUUUACAGGGGCUAAUUGCCCAGUGGUUAUUCAGUCAUUUCUGAGUUAUCAUCCACUUUAGCAAAUGGCUUGAGAAUCUCCUCUACUUAGUGUUAAGUAGGGGUGUCUAUGCUUUUUGUUUGAUUAAAUUUAAAAGUAGGCAAGGGGAGAGUCAAUCCCAUUUUCACACAAUGUAACAGAAGAUAUAGUCAAUAGCAAAAACACAUGAACUGAAAGUGACAUAGUGUAAUGGAAUAGUUUAGAUCAAUAUGUAAACUUAAAAGCAAAUACAGUACAUAUGACAGGAUACAGUCAAUCAGUGGUUUUUUUAACAUGUGAUAAAUGAAUCCAAAAGUCCUUUUCUCUAAUUUUGAUAGCUAUUGGAGUGGCUAAUAGGAAAUGACAUACACCUUGUAUUUAAAAUUGUGUUACAGAGACUUCUUCACUAUGGGGAGGGGAAUAAAUGGAAACAGUUAACAUCA
This 1168-nucleotide long non-coding RNA is filed under the name Monodelphis domestica (gray short-tailed opossum). Its description in RNAcentral is "lncRNA (ENSMODG00000050474.1)". Lineage: Eukaryota; Metazoa; Chordata; Mammalia; Didelphimorphia; Didelphidae. The record is from RNAcentral.